Molecule: ribosomal RNA, 433 nt
Filed under: uncultured bacterium
Lineage: Bacteria
Description: partial 16S ribosomal RNA
Rfam family: Bacterial small subunit ribosomal RNA
Source: RNAcentral
AACGAACGCUGGCGGCAUGCCUAACACAUGCAAGUCGAACGAGACCUUCGGGUCUAGUGGCGCACGGGUGCGUAACGCGUGGGAACCUGCCUUUAGGUUCGGAAUAACUCAGAGAAAUUUGAGCUAAUACCGGAUGAUGUCUUCGAACCAAAGAUUUAUCGCCUUUAGAUGGGCCCGCGUUGGAUUAGCUAGUUGGGGGGGUAAAGGCCUACCAAGGCGACGAUCCAUAGCUGGUCUGAGAGGAUGAUCAGCCACACUGGGACUGCGACACGGCCCAGACUCCUACGGGAGGCAGCAGUGGGGAAUAUUGGACAAUGGGCGCAAGCCUGAUCCAGCAAUGCCGCGUGAGUGAUGAAGGCCUUAGGGUUGUAAAGCUCUUUUACCCGAGAUGAUAAUGACAGUAUCGGGAGAAUAAGCUCCGGCUAACUCCGUG